UACAUUGUCAGGAUUUAUAUUGAGGAGAUAGGGGGUGUCAUUUUCUGUACACAUUCCUGUCCCCACAACUUUCUCUUCAGCCUCUUCUAUAACAUCAAAAUAUUUGUUGUCUGUACUUUUCUUUCUCCGCAGUGGUUUUCUUAUCUCCUUUUCUGUUGGUCACACUGAAACCACCUCCAAUACCACAUUGUUAAUGGAAAUUCACACACUUAUUAGGUUUUUCCUUCUGUAGAACCCUUCCAACUCCUCAUUGUUCUUACCAAAGAAAGAAGAUGAACUGUGAGAUUAUUUGAGGCCCCCCCCCUUUUUUUCUGGUGGAAGUAAGCAAAGAACGGAAAGAUCUCACCUUUCUAUGGAUAAAGUAAAACUCCAACAUGUUAUCGUUUUUUAACUGAGUUAUUUCAUAAUGUUGAAACAUGAAUAAUAACAAAAUAAUUAGAUUGGUUCUUAGAGAAGGGAUUUUAAAAUAUAAAAGCUCAUUAAAGCACUUUUCUUGCUUAGUGUUUAGGUAGAAUAAGUUCGCUUUAAUUCCAGUUUGUGUCACUUCCUGUCUCUCUCUGAAUAGUAAAAAAAAAAAACAAGAAUGUUCUCACAAAUGUGUGUCUGCCAACAAAUUAAUACUCCACAAAGAGAAACUCUGCCCCACAUGGCAGCUUCCAAUAAAUGCUCUGAUUCAAAUCACAACUCUUUCAUUUUUUUUUUAUCCCCUUCCCCCUUGAGGGAGCACAUUUAGACAAUAUUUGAGGAUGUCAUCUUUCUGCUUUUUAAAACUCUCUAGAGUUUUCAUUUAAGACUCUUAAUGGUUGAUGACUAAAACUACAGAUCUGGAUAGUGGAAAAACUAAUAAUCUUAAAAAACACUUCUGAAAUGUGGUAAAGUGCAUUCAUUCUCUUCCCUCCUCUUUGUCCUUUUCAAAGAAAGAAAGUUCAAUAUGAAACCAAUGCAAAUUAUGACUUUACUCAGUGAGAUAUUUUACCUUCUUUCAGACUGUUUCAUACUGAAGUUUAUAAAAAAAAAAGAAAAAUAACUAUGUUAAAAUAGGAGGGUUAAGGAAUGUAUUAUUCAUAAGCAUAAUGAACACAAGAACCUGUUUUUCCAGAAGAAUUGGGUUGAUUAAAUCAUUCACCACACAAGCCUCUAGUUAUUUAUUUUUGUCUUUAGAAUUACAGUACUUAGCUUUUAUAAUAAAGUGGACUUGAUACCCAUAUUUGGUAUGGCAGUUGAAAGUAGUCAAAUGAAGAAUUAUUUCAUUUUACAAAAUUUUUAGUAAGUAAGGAAUAUAAACACUAUCAGUUAAACAUAGCAAACUUGCAUUUUUUUAUUCCUUGGGCUAUAGUUUGAAAAAAAAAUCAAAUUAUUUUAUGUAACACUGAUUCUUACAGAGUUCCUUUAAGCGAAGUAUGAAAGCUGCAGUGUAAGCUUUAUUGGCCUAUAAAUAUGUCAUUAUAGUUGGACUACAUUUAUAUGCUUUGGAUUGUUGUUUAAGCCAAGAAAAUAUGUCUCUACAGGUUGACUUUUUAUUGAAGCCCUUUGAGGCAUACAACAGAAUGUAUUUUAGGCCAAGGUUAUUAAAACAGCAUUUUCAUUUUUUUGCAGCAGACUCAUUGUCAAUUAUGCUGCCACAAACUGUCUGUGGAUGGGCAGUUAUGAAUGGUUUCAUCUCCAAAUGUGUCUUUAGAAAAAGAAAGAAAAGAUAGAGGAGUCUGAGCUGAAACUGAGAAAAAAGACCCAAAGAUUAUGUGUGGGGGUCUGGCUGAAUUUAAUGAUGGGGGUUCCCUCAGUUCAAUUUCUGUUUCUAAAUCUGUCCCAUCAAAUUGAGAAAGAGUAGCUUCCCCCUUUCUUCUGUUGCUGGGACUUUCACUGUACUUUUUGGGAGUCAACAGCAUGGUGGGGUUAAAAGAGCAGAGGGUGGGCUGUCAGGAGAAUCUUGGCUCUACAUGUAGAUCUGUCACCACUGGAAAAGUCACUGGAAGACACUGUAUGAUUUUUUACCUGAGUGCUCUCAUGAAUUUAUUAGGAUUUGAAGACAUGCCUCUUAUUGGAACAAUCCUUCCUUCCUUUCUAGACUUAAAUUUUAUGUGUAUAUAUUUUUUGUUUUUUAUUUUUUUCAGUGAAGAGAAAUAACUUUUAUUAAUGAGAGCAAUGAAUUCUUAAUUCUCAGCCACAAAAAAAGAUAAAAUACAAUGAGAUUUUCAAAUGUAAAAUAAAAUAUCUGUACUCACUUCAUUGCUGCAGAGAUAAAGUGAAAUAUUAUUAUACAGCUCUAAGGUGACAUGAAAAGAACACAACUGUUCAACCAAAUGGCUCAAAGUAGGUUUAAAUUUUAUGUGUAUAUUAAAGAGUCUUUGGAAGUAUCCAGGCUACCAGUAUUUACCUCUAGGAUACAAUAUUGGAGGGUUUCUGGUUUUCAUGCAUGUGUAGGAAGGAAGGAACUCACAGGUAGCAGGGCAAACAGCUACAACUAUGUUAUAAGUUCAUGCACGUGUGAUAGGGAGGACAGGUGGUUUCUGUGGUCCUCAAAUCCCUUUUAGAUUUGCACCUUUCUUGAUUUUGAAGUCUGGGGUCAAAUAUAGAGAUCAACUUGCUGGAUAAUCAGAUGUAGUGGGGAGAGAAUCAACACAUUAGCAACUGUAGGGAAUAGGCAGGCAUCAGUCUAAAUGGACACAAACCUCAGGGCCACGAUAGCAGCCAGGGACCUCUUCUUCACUCCAGCUCUGGAAUACUCUGAGAAGAAAAUCUCCCCCAAUCAAACACCUUGUUUACAUAGGCAUGCUUAAAUGCAAACAAGCUCCCUUUUUAAAAUGCAGAAGAAUAUUAAUUUGUGAGGCAAUGGUGCUUUGGGGUAGUUUUUUGGUGAGUGAAAGUAAA
This 2868-nucleotide long non-coding RNA is filed under the name Homo sapiens (human). RNAcentral's name for it is "HSALNT0358097". The record is from RNAcentral. Lineage: Eukaryota; Metazoa; Chordata; Mammalia; Primates; Hominidae.